Molecule: long non-coding RNA, 1551 nt
Organism: Galeopterus variegatus (Sunda flying lemur)
Lineage: Eukaryota; Metazoa; Chordata; Mammalia; Dermoptera; Cynocephalidae
Exons: 2
Source: RefSeq, a predicted model, not a curated record
UAUUUCCCAGUGCUCAGCUCAGCCGCAGUGCAGCCACGUGGUGGCACUGGGUAAGAGUGUGCCAGCACGGUGACCAAGGGCGUGAACGCGGGCUUGAAGGCCGAAGGAGGGAAUAACAGCACAUGAUGAGUUCUGUCUGCAGACUGGGCCAACCUUCUGCUGAAAAUUACCGGAAUGCUGAUUAAAAUAUCUAAGGAGCACGGAAGAGCCCACACGAUAGCAAGAACGUCAGCCCGCACAUCUGGGUGACGGAACCCAGAGCGCUGAGCAAAGGUCAGAAACUCAUACUGCCUUGAGGACAUCCGCGGAACCCAACAAACGGAGCUCUUCAUUUAGGGAAGGAGGUGGGACCUGGGCAAGAGUGCAGGGCUGGCCCAAGGUGAACAUGAAAUUGGAGAACCUCUUCCCGUGAGUCGGGGACCCCCAAGGGCUACACUCAACUAAAGGGUAAACCACAAGUCAGUCUGAGUAUGAACCACCCCCAGAGACUGAGACCUUGUCCUUGAGCAAAGGAUAGUGGUAUUGUUAGAAGUCAUUCUCACAGUCUGCUCUUGCAGGGUUUGCAGCCCAAAUUCGUAUUUCCUAGGUCAUACAAAAAGUUUCAGUCUUUAAAGCAAAUAGGAAAUGCAGCUCCCCCAGGUGUUGGGAGAAGCAAACACAAACCUCCUGAGGGAUACGUCUUCCUCCUAGGCAUCAAAGAAAUUCCUUAAGUUAUUUUUCAAGGACAACGAGCAUCAUACAGUCUAAGCAAGUGUUACUGUUAAGCAGAAAACCGUAUAUCAGUUACCAGUCUCAAAGGAGGACUCUAAACACUUCUGCCCACCGAUCUUGGGCUACCAGAGAUAGCCCAUGAUACACUAAUGAUAUAGUGUCAUAAAUAGGGCAACUGUGCUGCAACAGCCAAGAAGUAAACAGAACUGUUGGAUUUGGGUGUCAUGCACACGGUAUGUGUUGGAGGGCAAAGGGGUGCAUAACUGAGGCUCUACAGAAUAGGCCAUAAUAUCAACUGAUGACAUAGCUGAGGAGCCUCUGCAUGCCACCAGCUUUGCUAAACACUUUUCAUUUGCUGCUCCUCGACUUCCCACAAGGAACCAUGCCCACUCAAGAAAUGGGAAAACCAAGGUCCAGAGAGGGUGCCCCAGCAACCCAGCUACCUGGCUGGGAGGCAGCAAAGUCAGGAUUCCAUACCAGCCAAAUUUCUCACUCCCUCUGACCUCCAAGUCUGCAAAAUGAAGCUCAUGACACUAACCAGCAGAGCAGCAACUGGCACCUCGGCUGUGACUUGUUGGUGAGUCAUCGGCAAACCUACACCCAAACUGUGCUCAGCUGUUAGAUUCUGUUUACUUCUUGACGUCAGGGGAGAGAAAGAAGAAGAGUUAAUUAGAGUUUGCAAGUGCCUAGCUUCGAGGAAAUAUAGUCAGUCCCUUUUUACAGUUCCUCGGUCUAUUUUUGUUUGGGCAUCAGAGAAAGAAACUCAAGAAAUGCGUUUCCAUAAUCACAUGGGCUAAAAAUCUCACAUUAUAUAAAUAAAUUCCUUGUGCAUCCCGUGGA